Molecule: RNA transcript, 3301 nt
Organism: Microtus ochrogaster (prairie vole)
Lineage: Eukaryota; Metazoa; Chordata; Mammalia; Rodentia; Cricetidae
Gene: Cutc
Gene name: cutC copper transporter
Exons: 10
Source: RefSeq, a predicted model, not a curated record
CCUACGACUCUAAGGGGCGCGGGCGUCGGGAACGCGCCUCCUCCGUGGCUCGUGCAGCCGCGGUGACUCCGUGGAAACCGAAGGCGAGCGAGGGAGGAAGGCGGGAAGCAUGAAGAAAGGGGCUUCCUGCGAGCGGAAACCGGCGUGGAUGCCGUCGGGGAAGGCGGGAGCACCAAAUGGAUUUCUUAUGGAAGUGUGUGUAGACUCGGUGGAGUCGGCCAUGAAUGCAGAAAGAGGAGGUGCUGGUCGGAUUGAACUAUGUGCUGGCUUAUUGGAGGGAGGAACCACGCCCAGCAUGGGUAUUCUUCAAGUAGUAAAACAAAGUGUCCAGAUUCCAGUUUUUGUGAUGAUUCGACCACGAGGAGGCGAUUUUUUAUAUUCAGAUCGUGAAGUUGAAGUGAUGAAGGCUGACAUUCGUCUUGCCAAGCUUUAUGGUGCUGAUGGUUUGGUAUUUGGGGCAUUGACUGAAGAUGGACACAUUGACAAAGAGCUGUGCAUGUCUCUUGUGGCUCUCUGCCGUCCUCUGCCAGUCACUUUUCACCGAGCCUUUGACAUGGUUCAUGAUCCAAUGGCAGCUCUGGAGACCCUCCUGACUUUGGGAUUUGAACGUGUUUUGACCAGCGGAUGUGACAGUUCAGCACUUGAAGGACUGCCUCUAAUAAAGCAACUCAUAGAUGAGGCAAAAGGCAGGAUUGUGGUGAUGCCAGGAGGUGGCAUAACAGAUAAAAAUCUGCAGAGGAUUCUUGAGGGUUCAGGUGCUACAGAAUUCCACUGUUCUGCUCGAUCUUCUAGAGACUCAGGAAUGAAGUUUCGAAAUUCCUCUGUCGCAAUGGGAGCUUCACUUGCUCAUUCAGAAUAUUCUCUAAAGGUAACAGAUGUGACAAAAGUAAGGACUUUGUAUGCGAUUGCAAGGGACAUCCUAGUUUAGCUUCUGAGAGACGUGGACUCACUGUGAAGACUGAGCGGAACCGUCAGUUCUCCACGUGGCCAUGGAGUGUGUUUCCAAGAAGAAAAAGAAAUUGGAACAGCAAUGCAAUCCUUUUCUCUGCCAGUCUUUGCUGUCGUGGUGGCUAAAUUUAGCCUGUGCUUCUUCCUCAGGGAAUUCACUGAUAAAGUGGCAAAGGUCAACUCUAAGGUAUGAAAUCAGAUUUGGUGGAGAGUCAGUUUAGUCCACUUUUUUUGUAUUUUCAUUUGUAAAAUAAAAAUCCUCAUUCUGUUGUGUUAUAGUCUCAUAUUCUUUUACUUAAUAUUUUCAGUAGUUUAUUAUGAAGGAAGAUUGUUUUGCUUUUCUAUUUCUUGUAGUUUUCCUUUCUAUCAUGUACUCGUUGGAUUUGUUGCUCAGGACAGGGUGUAAAGGUUGCAGUAAAAUGGUAUAGUGUAAAAAUUCCCAGACUUGGGACUUUUUUCUUUGAACUACAUCCUGAUACCCAAAUUGAGGCAAGGUGUGCCUUCCAAUGUGAAAUUUUUUAUUUCUUUGGGUCUUCCAGUAGCCACAAUGAAAAUCGGUGCUGAUAACAACACAGGAGCCAAAAAUCUGUAUUUCUAUCUAAAGGGGCUCAAGGUGUUGGAUGACAGAGUGAUGACCACAGUUAAAGGCAAACCAGAGCUCAAAAAGAAAGUACAUCCAACAUAGUGGUAAUUUGGCAGUAAGUGUUGUGCUGGAGCCAGGUACAGUGGUGUGUGCCUAUAAUUUCAACUGCUAGAGAGGCUGAAGCAGGGGGAUGGCUUGAGUUCCAGAGUUCUGGGCUGUAGUGUACUUUACCACUCAGUUAUCUGCACUAUAUGGUGACCUCUAGCGAUCAGGCGGCGACCCCUGGGUGCCUAAAGAGGGAUGAACCAGUCAAGGUCCAAAGUCAUAUCACUUUAAAGAUAAUGCAGGGAUAUGGUAAACAAUAAAGGCGAAUUGAAGGUUCUGCCAUGACAGGAUCAGUUGCAAAGAAGUUUGCAGAUUUGUGGUUCAGGGUUGCGGGCUAUGCAGGUAGAAUAGCUUGGUUUUGGGGAUUUUGUUAAAUUCACAGACCUCGAAAGCAGGAUUUAAACGUUCCUGGAGUUAGCCAAUAAUCCCAGCACUUAGGAGACUGAGAUAGGAGGAUUGCCGUGAGUUUGAAAUUAACCCAGGCUACAAACUGAGACCUUAUCUCAAAAGAACAAAUAGCAGGGCUGGAGAGGUAACAACAAUUUAGAGCACUGACUCCUCUUCCAGAAGACCCAGAUUCAAUCCCCAGCACCACUGAUGGCUCACAGUCACCUGUAACUAGAGGUCUGGGAGUUCCCAGGCCUUCCUGUGGCCUCCUCAGACACCAGGCAUGCACGUGGCACACAGACUUACAUUCAGGGAAAACACUCGUACACAUAAAAUACAAAAAGACAAAACCAAAUUUCUAGAUGGUGGUACCAUAUAAACUUGCAAAGAAAUGCAAUGUAGUGUUUUAGGCUGACCCUCUCCUGUGCGUGGACUGUCGAAUCCUCCAGAGAUAAGAACUGUUCUGUCGUCUCUGUUUAUUUAAACAAAUUAACAAAGGAUCUAAGAGGCCAUGUGAAUUCCUUGAGAUUUAAUAACAAAUUCAGCUUGUUUAUAAGACCUGGACAUUGGUCUCCUAACCCCAAAUCGAGUUGUCAUCUUUAAGAUGCUUUGGUUCGUGGGUGUUGCACAAAGGACAAUCCUGGGCAAAUGAGACGUACCAGGGAUCAUACCAUAUCUUACAGUUUAGUCAGAAGAAAGCUAAUAUUUUGAACCUUAAAUCCCUCAUUCCUAAACAAGGCAUUAAAAACUAAACUAUCGUUUUUGGCUAGAUGAUGUAUUAAAGCACCAGGCACUCACUGUUCAUUUUUGCCUCCCGUGUUAGCUUUCCAGGACCUGUCUGUUUCAAACCUCUCUCCAGGAGGCAUAGCGUUCUGAAGCCAGCACUCAUUUUGUACACUCCACUACAUGAAUAUAAUAAAAUAAGUUUUAGCCCUUCAAAGUACCACAUCCUGGAAACAAAAAAUGUGAUGCUCUCCAGCUCAGUAAAAUGAUCUUUGUACCUUUUCUUCUGGUCCUCGCCUGUCUGCUUCAAUCCUGGAACUGGCACAGGAGGCCUUGACAAGCAAGGGAAAUGAUAACAAGAGUGCCACUUGUUCCUCGGAGCUGGCUGGUUCUGGAAACAAGGAGCUCUGAAUUGGAUAUGAGGUUUCUUUUUUUCCUUUGGGGUUUUUAUUUUAUUUUAAGAGAUGGUUAUUGUAUAACUCUGAAUAGAUUAAAAUAAUUUUCUCACAAAGUGAUUGAGUUGUAUAUUACAAUAAAGUUGAAAUUUUUAAAAGA